CGGAGGAGGCUACACAUGCAGUCGAGCGGUAACACAGGGAGCUUGCUCCUGGGUGACGAGCGGCGGACGGGUGAGUAAUGUCUGGGAAACUGCCUGAUGGAGGGGGAUAACUACUGGAAACGGUAGCUAAUACCGCAUAAUGUCGCAAGACCAAAGAGGGGGACCUUCGGGCCUCUUGCCAUCAGAUGUGCCCAGAUGGGAUUAGCUAGUAGGUGGGGUAACGGCUCACCUAGGCGACGAUCCCUAGCUGGUCUGAGAGGAUGACCAGCCACACUGGAACUGAGACACGGUCCAGACUCCUACGGGAGGCAGCAGUGGGGAAUAUUGCACAAUGGGCGCAAGCCUGAUGCAGCCAUGCCGCGUGUAUGAAGAAGGCCUUCGGGUUGUAAAGUACUUUCAGCGAGGAGGAAGGCGUUAAGGUUAAUAACCUUGGCGAUUGACGUUACUCGCAGAAAAAGCACCGGCUAACUCCGUGCCAGCAGCCGCGGUAAUACGGAGGGUGCAAGCGUUAAUCGGAAUUACUGGGCGUAAAGCGCACGCAGGCGGUCUGUCAAGUCGGAUGUGAAAUCCCCGGGCUCAACCUGGGAACUGCAUUCGAAACUGGCAGGCUAGAGUCUUGUAGAGGGGGGUAGAAUUCCAGGUGUAGCGGUGAAAUGCGUAGAGAUCUGGAGGAAUACCGGUGGCGAAGGCGGCCCCCUGGACAAAGACUGACGCUCACGUGCGAAAGCGUGGGGAGCAAACAGGAUUAUAUACCCUGGUAGUCCACGCCGUAAACGAUGUCGAUUUGGAGGUUUGUUCCCUUGAGGAGUGGCUUCCGGAGCUAACGCGUUAAAUCGACCGCCUGGGGAGUACGGCCGCGAGGUUGAAAACUCAGAUGAUUUGUCGGGGGCCCGCACAGGCGGCGGGAGCAUGUGGUUUAAUUCAAUGCAACGUGGAGAACCUUACCUACU
RNAcentral lists this ribosomal RNA (950 nucleotides) under Enterobacter sp. RNAcentral describes it as "bacterial SSU rRNA". It matches the Rfam family "Bacterial small subunit ribosomal RNA", at positions 40 to 979 of the family's 1533-position model. The record is from RNAcentral. Lineage: Bacteria; Pseudomonadati; Pseudomonadota; Gammaproteobacteria; Enterobacterales; Enterobacteriaceae.